RNAcentral lists this ribosomal RNA (494 nucleotides) under Amauroderma sp. BRFM 916. RNAcentral describes it as "eukaryotic LSU rRNA". The stretch from base 123 to 276 matches the Rfam family "5.8S ribosomal RNA". The record is from RNAcentral. Lineage: Eukaryota; Fungi; Basidiomycota; Agaricomycetes; Polyporales; Polyporaceae.
GUUUUUCGGGUUCGUACAAGGGGUUGUUUUUUUCGGCCUGUUGAAGGCCAUUGUUUGCCUGCGUUUAUCACAAACUCUAUAAAGUAUUAGAAUGUGUAUUGCGAUGUAACGCAUCUAUAUACAACUUUCAGCAACGGAUCUCUUGGCUCUCGCAUCGAUGAAGAACGCAGCGAAAUGCGAUAAGUAAUGUGAAUUGCAGAAUUCAGUGAAUCAUCGAAUCUUUGAACGCACCUUGCGCUCCUUGGUAUUCCGAGGAGCAUGCCUGUUUGAGUGUCAUGAAAUCUUCAAUCUAUAAGCUUCUUAAUUGGAGUUUGUAGUCUUGGACUUGGAGGCUUGUUGGUCCUUUACAGGUCGGCUCCUCUUAAAUGCAUUAGCUUGGUUCCUUGCGGAUCGGCUUGUCGGUGUGAUAAUGUCUACGCCGCGACCGUGAAGCGUGUUUGGGCGAGCUUCUAACCGUCUCGUUAUAGAGACAACUUUAUGACCUCGGCCCUCAA